CCUACGGGAGGCAGCAGUAAGGAAUCUUGGUCAAUGGACGAGAGUCUGAACCAGCCAAGUAGCGUGAAGGAUGACUGCCCUCUGGGUUGUAAACUUCUUUUAUAUGGGAAUAAAACAGGGUAUGCAUCCCAUCUUGUAUGUACCAUAUGAAUAAGGAUCGGCUAACUCCGUGCCAGCAGCCGCGGUAAUACGUAGGAUCCGAGCGUUAUCCGGAUGUAGUGUGUUUAAAGGGAGCGUAGGUGGAUUGUUAAGUCAGUUGUGAAAGUUUGCGGCUCAACCGUAAAAUUGCAGUGGAAACUGGCAGUCUUGAGUACAGUAGAGGGGGGCGGAAUUCGUGGUGUAGCGGUGAAAUGCGUAGAUAUCACGAAGAACUCCGAGGGCGAAGGCAGCUCACUGGACUGCAACUGACACUGAUGCUCGAAAGUGUGGGUAGCAAACAGGAUUAGAUACCCGUGUAGUC
This 460-nucleotide ribosomal RNA is filed under the name uncultured bacterium. RNAcentral describes it as "partial 16S ribosomal RNA". It matches the Rfam family "Bacterial small subunit ribosomal RNA", at positions 338 to 795 of the family's 1533-position model. The record is from RNAcentral.